UACGUAGGGUGCAAGCGUUGUCCGGAAUUAUUGGGCGUAAAGAGCUCGUAGGCGGUUUGUCGCGUCUGCUGUGAAAACCUAAGGCUCAACCUUGGGCUUGCAGUGGGUACGGGCAGACUAGAGUGCGGUAGGGGUGACUGGAAUUCCUGGUGUAGCGGUGGAAUGCGCAGAUAUCAGGAGGAACACCGGUGGCGAAGGCGGGUCUCUGGGCCGGUACUGACGCUGAGGAGCGAAAGCGUGGGGAGCGAACAGG
Molecule: ribosomal RNA, 253 nt
Filed under: uncultured bacterium
Lineage: Bacteria
Description: partial 16S ribosomal RNA
Rfam family: Bacterial small subunit ribosomal RNA
Source: RNAcentral